This 460-nucleotide ribosomal RNA is filed under the name uncultured bacterium. RNAcentral's name for it is "partial 16S ribosomal RNA". It matches the Rfam family "Bacterial small subunit ribosomal RNA", at positions 338 to 795 of the family's 1533-position model. The record is from RNAcentral.
CCUACGGGAGGCAGCAGUGAGGAAUAUUGGUCAAUGGACGAGAGUCUGAACCAGCCAAGCCGCGUGAAGGAUGACUGCCCUCUGGGUUGUAAACUUCUUUUAUAUGGGAAUAAAAUGUUCCACGUGUGGGAUUUUGUAUGUACCAUAUGAAUAAGGAUCGGCUAACUCCGUGCCAGCAGCCGCGGUAAUACGGAGGAUCCGAGCGUUACCCGGAUUUAUUGGGUUUAAAGGGCGCGUAGGUGGAUUGUUAAGUCAGGUGUGAAAGUUUGCGGUUCAACGGGAAAAUUGCAGUUGAAACUGGCAGUCUUGAGUACAGUAGCGGUGGGCGGAAUUCGUGGUGUAGCGGUGGAAUGCGUAGAUAUCACGAAGAACACCGAUUGCGAAGGCAGCUCACUGGACUGCAACUGACACUGAGGCUCGAAAGUGUGGGUAGCAAACAGGAUUAGAUACCCCUGUAGUC